This 321-nucleotide long non-coding RNA is filed under the name Bos taurus (domestic cattle). RNAcentral describes it as "long non-coding RNA NONBTAT019155". The record is from RNAcentral. Lineage: Eukaryota; Metazoa; Chordata; Mammalia; Artiodactyla; Bovidae.
AAUUUCAAGGAGGUGAAAAAUUGAUAUUUCCGAAAGUCCAACCAUAAAAACUAGUACACAGAGAGGCUAUGCAGAAUAUAUAGCUGUAUCUUCAACUAUGGAAAGAAAGGGAUGACGUAGCAAAGCAACAAUCAGCUAGAAGUACUCCCUAGAUCACCUCUCAUCUCCACAAUUUCUAGACUUCCUACAGCGCUUGUUCGUUGACUUUCCGGGUUGCUGUGUUCAGGGCCCAGGAACUCCCGAGUUCUUUCCCCCUCUCACCAGGGUUGGCUGCAGCAUUCUUGUGACCAGGUUUCUCCUACAUCUCUGUUCAGUGUGACA